UACGGAGGUCCCGAGCGUUGCGCGAAUUUACUGGGCGUAAAGGGUGUGUAGGCGGUUUGGCAAGUGGGUGGUGAAAUUUCAUGGCUCAACCGUGAAACUGCCUUUGAAACUGCCAAACUUGAGGCAGGGAGAGGUAGGCGGAAUUCUCGGUGUAGCGGUGAAAUGCGUAGAUAUCGAGAGGAACACCAGUGGCGAAGGCGGCCGACGGGAACGGUCCUGACGCUGAUGGACGAAAGCUAGGGGAGCAAACCGG
Molecule: ribosomal RNA, 253 nt
Filed under: uncultured bacterium
Lineage: Bacteria
Description: partial 16S ribosomal RNA
Rfam family: Bacterial small subunit ribosomal RNA
Source: RNAcentral